Dreissena polymorpha is the source of this 252-nucleotide long non-coding RNA. RefSeq lists it as uncharacterized. The record is from RefSeq and is a predicted model, not a curated record. NCBI's taxonomy places the organism in Eukaryota, Metazoa, Mollusca, Bivalvia, Myida, Dreissenidae. The transcript is spliced from 2 exons.
AGUAGGUGCUGCCUUUCUAAGUUAGCAACUGCGUCAAAAGUGCGUUCUCUUUGGACAGUUUGGACACCUGUGAGGACAAACCGGGACUGUCCGUAAAGUUACGACUGUCCAGGAGUAUGCCAGUGGAGGAAUUUGUUCAACGAUGCUGACCCUUUGAAGCUGGAAGUCAAAUGGGAGAAGCUAGGGGUCAGGGGAGGGGUCGUGCUUGACUUGAGGCUUGUGCGGGCCCGACUGGUGCUGUUGCCGUACCAA